AGAGUUUGAUCAUGGCUCAGGACGAACGCUGGCGGCGUGCCUAAUACAUGCAAGUCGUGCGGAGGUACGUGAGGAGCUUGCUCCGAGCGGACCUUAGCGGCGGACGGGUGAGUAACGCGUGGGCAAUCUACCUCCAAGGCUGGGAUAACAGCUCGAAAGGGCUGCUAAUACCAGAUGAGGCCUAGUUAGGGCAUCCUGAGUAGGUCAAAGGAGAGAUCCCUUUGGAGAUGAGCCCGCGUCCCAUUAGCUAGUUGGUGAGGUAACGGCCCACCAAGGCGACGAUGGGUAGCCGGCCUGAGAGGGUGACCGGCCACACUGGGACUGAGACACGGCCCAGACUCGUACGGGAGGCAGCAGUAGGGAAUCUUCCGCAAUGGGCGAAAGCCUGACGGAGCGACGCCGCGUGGGUGAUGAAGGCCUUCGGGUUGUAAAACCCUGUCUUAAGGGACGAAACCCCCGAAGAGGGGACUGACGGUACCUUAGGAGGAAGCCCCGGCUAACUACGUGCCAGCAGCCGCGGUAAUACGUAGGGGGCGAGCGUUGUCCGGAAUUACUGGGCGUAAAGGGUGCGUAGGCGGCUUCUUAAGUGGGGGGUGAAAUCUCCCGGCUCAACCGGGUGACUGCCCUUCAGACUGGGGAGCUUGAGUGCGGGAGAGGAAAGUGGAAUUCCCGGUGUAGCGGUGAAAUGCGUAGAUAUCGGGAGGAACACCAGUGGCGAAGGCGGCUUUCUGGACCGCAACUGACGCUGAGGCACGAAAGCUGGGGGAGCAAACAGGAUUAGAUACCCUGGUAGUCCCAGCCGUAAACGAUGAGUGCUAUGUGUAGGAGGUAUCGACCCCUCCUGUGCCGGAGUUAACGCAAUAAGCACUCCGCCUGGGGAGUACGGCCGCAAGGUUGAAACUCAAAUGAAUUGACGG
RNAcentral lists this ribosomal RNA (917 nucleotides) under uncultured bacterium. Its description in RNAcentral is "bacterial SSU rRNA". It matches the Rfam family "Bacterial small subunit ribosomal RNA", at positions 8 to 916 of the family's 1533-position model. The record is from RNAcentral.